Diabrotica virgifera virgifera (western corn rootworm) is the source of this 1127-nucleotide long non-coding RNA. RefSeq lists it as uncharacterized. NCBI's taxonomy places the organism in Eukaryota, Metazoa, Arthropoda, Insecta, Coleoptera, Chrysomelidae. The record is from RefSeq and is a predicted model, not a curated record. The transcript is spliced from 3 exons.
AACAACACACAACAUUCCAGGAAUGUACUACCAAAGUUCUAUCAAUAUUUGAAUGUCCUGGACAUUUAGGGAACAUUCGGUGAACAUCUGUUUAAAUUAUUCCUGGAAUGUUACCAUAAGACAUUCUGUGAACAUACUACCAAUGUUCCUAUAUUUUAAGUUGCGAAAUAAUACAUACGUGUAACAGAUACAACAUUACUUAUAACAUACCAGACAAACUAAGUGACACUUUAGGCCUACAGUGCAAUAAUAUGUCAAAUUUAAAGAGUUUCCCAAGUUCAAUUAAUACAAUAUUAUAAACAUACAAAUGUAAUAAAAAUUAUUGUUCGCGAAUAUUCAAUUUGGAAUGCGAUUUUGUUAAUAAAAAAAAUACUUAUAACUUAUGCAAAACCCAAGAGAGGCAUUUAUAUUUAUUUCUUUUGCGUUCAUUUUCAAAUUCGCCGUGCAUAUAUUUUUGUGCAUGGCGCUUGAGAGGGCAUCACGUGACUAAAAACGACCAACCAACGACCUCGCUUCGGCCAUCUUGGCAUCUUCAUCUUGGCCACCUUGCUUUGCCGUGGGUGGAUCGUUGUUUGUAUUAUUUGUGCUUUUUAAGAAUAUUUUUUUAAUUCGGAUACUUUUAUAAUAGCUUUAAUAGUAUUAUUAACAUAGUGAAUAAAAUGGUGUCCUGUUUUUAACGCAGUUGGAGUAGCAGAAACAAAUGUAGAUAAAAAAAUCUGCAGGAAUAACGUUUCAAUUAUGACAGAAGCUCCAAACAAAUGACUGUGAAUGAAAAGCCCUAUUAAAAGCUUUCCAGAAGAUCCUGCGAAGAAGACAUGAAGUAUAGAUCAGAUUUGUUAAUAGAGGAGUAUGUUCAAAACACUUUUUAGAAAAAGAUAUUGACAGAACUUCACUUUCAUCUGUUCGUUUAAGAGACUGUGCUGUUCCAAUAGCUUAUGUCACACAGAAUCAGCUGAGAGAAGUGGUCUACAAAAAACCAGAAAGGAAACGGAAUAUGUGGCUACGAAAAGCAAAAGAAAGGUUUACAAAGCAAAUGUGACACAUUUUUUUAUAAUAUUUAGGAAUGUCAGUAAAUUACAUUAAAAAAUGUAUGUAAAGAUUUUUUGCAAUAAAAAUGUUUAUAUUUA